UUUACGAGUCCUGGCUCAGGACUGGACGACUGGACGGCGUGCUUAACACAUAGCAAGUCGAACGAGAACCGAAUGGAUUGAGGAUUCGUCAAUGAAAUUGGGGAAAGUGGCGACGGGUGAGUAACGCGUGAGCAAUCUGCCUUGGAGUGGGAUAACGUUGGAAACAGCCGCUAAUACCGCAUGAUGCAAUUGGGAGGCAUCUCUCUGAUUGCCAAAGAUUUAUCGCUCUGAGAUGAGCUCGCGUCUGAUUAGCUAGUUGGCGGGGUAACGGGCCCACCAAGGCGACGAUCAGUAGCCGGACUGAGAGGUUGGCCGGCCACAUUGGGACUGAGACACGGCCCAGACUCCUACGGGAGGCAGCAGUGGGGAAUAUUGGGCAAUGGGCGCAAGCCUGACCCCAGCAACGCCGCGUGAAGGAAGAAGGCUUUCGGGUUGUAAACUUCUUUUCUGAGGGACGAACAAAUGACGGUACCUCAGGAAUAAGCCACGGCUAACUACGUG
This 501-nucleotide ribosomal RNA is filed under the name uncultured Oscillospiraceae bacterium. RNAcentral describes it as "bacterial SSU rRNA". It matches the Rfam family "Bacterial small subunit ribosomal RNA", at positions 1 to 507 of the family's 1533-position model. The record is from RNAcentral. Lineage: Bacteria; Bacillati; Bacillota; Clostridia; Eubacteriales; Oscillospiraceae.